This 585-nucleotide unclassified non-coding RNA is filed under the name Homo sapiens (human). Its description in RNAcentral is "CLN8 transmembrane ER and ERGIC protein (ENSG00000278220.2)". Lineage: Eukaryota; Metazoa; Chordata; Mammalia; Primates; Hominidae. The record is from RNAcentral.
GAGACUGGUAGCCUCGAGAGGAAAAAUAAGCAUAACAAAUCACUCCUGCCUUCGGGGUCGAGGCGGGCUGGUCCGAGUCUCUGUUUUGGAAGCUCAACCAGUGGCUGAUGAUUCACAUGUUUCACUGCCGCAUGGUUCUAACCUACCACAUGUGGUGGGUGUGUUUCUGGCACUGGGACGGCCUGGUCAGCAGCCUGUAUCUGCCUCAUUUGACACUGUUCCUUGUCGGACUGGCUCUGCUUACGCUAAUCAUUAAUCCAUAUUGGACCCAUAAGAAGACUCAGCAGCUUCUCAAUCCGGUGGACUGGAACUUCGCACAGCCAGAAGCCAAGAGCAGGCCAGAAGGCAACGGGCAGCUGCUGCGGAAGAAGAGGCCAUAGCUGCUCCAGCCGGGGCUCCGGGGCGGCAGCAGAGCUGGCACACCGAUUCUGGGAAGCCCCGCGAAUGAUGGCUUUUGAAUUAAUGAGGCAGUGAAUGUUUUGUGUUUACUUCUAAGGGAAAUACUAACUUUCUUUCGCAUUAGUAUUAAUUUUGAAGUAGCUACAAAGUAUUUUUAAGAAAUUAUAAUUUUAUGACUGUCUGGCA